CACACAAACCCUGACCCCUCCAAUUGGGGACACUUCAUCUACCCAGAGGGUCUACCAAAAGACCUGGACAGGUUACUCACACUCACUGCCUCAAAAAGGACUUUUUCAAUUCUUCCUGGUGUAAACAAUUUCAUAAACCUUUUAAUUCUAACCAAACUUUAUGUAGCGCGGAAUCCGCAAUGUGGUGUUUAUCUUGGCUACAACAUAAUGGGGCUUUUCUACUAAAUUAUUCCGCCACAUGGGGAACAGCGAGCACAUGCGCAUGAGGGUUGCCUUAAACAUUGUUCAGUCGGAUGUCAACCAGUACUGUGGGUUCAUUAACAACAAGACUAAAUUUGUUUGGCGAGUUAUCACAUCCUGCAAUGACAAGGAUUCCGUGAGCAAGGGCAGCAUAUAAUACAUUCAGUUUGCUGCAUUCGAAUCACUUUAGAUGCUCCACUUUUUGAUUCAGUGACUUGUCACUAUGUAUAAUGUUCGAACAAGUUACUGUUGCAUUUUAGUAAAUAUGUAGUACGAUGUAAGAAUGGCCAACUUGCAUUUGGUGUAGUGCAUUUUAAGUUGGUCUAUAAAACUAAAUUAAGGAUUUUUUGUUGCAACUAAAACAUGGCCAUACAUGUGUGUAGUGGGUGGCCAAAUUUUAGUUGCCUUACUUAGGGAACCCAUGUAAUUCAUCCCAGCUGU
Molecule: non-coding RNA, 681 nt
Organism: Arachis ipaensis
Lineage: Eukaryota; Viridiplantae; Streptophyta; Magnoliopsida; Fabales; Fabaceae
Source: RefSeq, a predicted model, not a curated record